UACGGGGGGAGCAAGCGUUGUUCGGAUUUACUGGGCGUAAAGGCGCGUAGGCGGCCAGCACAAGUCAGUUGUGAAAUCUCCGAGCUUAACUCGGAAAGGUCAACUGAUACUGUGCGGCUAGAGUGCAGAAGGGGCAACUGGAAUUCUUGGUGUAGCGGUGAAAUGCGUAGAUAUCAAGAGGAACACCUGCGGCGAAGGCGGGUUGCUGGGCUGACACUGACGCUGAGGCGCGAAAGCUAGGGGAGCGAACGGG
Molecule: ribosomal RNA, 253 nt
Filed under: uncultured bacterium
Lineage: Bacteria
Description: partial 16S ribosomal RNA
Rfam family: Bacterial small subunit ribosomal RNA
Source: RNAcentral